CUGGCUCAGGAUGAACGCUAGCUACAGGCUUAACACAUGCAAGUCGAGGGGCAGCAUUAGAUUAGCUUGCUAAUUAGAUGGCGACCGGCGCACGGGUGAGUAACGCGUAUCCAACUUCCCCCUGCUCAGGGAUAGCCCGGUGAAAACCGGAUUAAGACCUGAUAGUUUCACUAGAUGGCAUCUGACGGUGAAUAAAGUUUUCGGCAAGGGAUGGGGAUGCGUCUGAUUAGCUUGUUGGCGGGGUAACGGCCCACCAAGGCGACGAUCAGUAGGGGUUCUGAGAGGAAGGCCCCCCACAUUGGAACUGAGACACGGUCCAAACUCCUACGGGAGGCAGCAGUGAGGAAUAUUGGUCAAUGGGCGGAAGCCUGAACCAGCCAAGUAGCGUGCAGGAAGACGGCCCUAUGGGUUGUAAACUGCUUUUGUGCGGGAAUAAAGUCAGGGACGCGUCCCUGUUUGCAUGUACCGCAAGAAUAAGGACCGGCUAAUUCCGUGCCAGCCGCCGC
This 506-nucleotide ribosomal RNA is filed under the name uncultured bacterium. RNAcentral's name for it is "bacterial SSU rRNA". It matches the Rfam family "Bacterial small subunit ribosomal RNA", at positions 19 to 518 of the family's 1533-position model. The record is from RNAcentral.